AGAGGGCUGGCUGGGCUAUAAUGUAUAACUAAUUCAAUCUCCUGCUCACCAAACCAACCACCUAUAGCUUUCUCCUCUUAUUCACUCAGUCUCUCUGGCUGUUGGUCGGUCUAUAGAUAGAAUUUUGAGAAAGUAAUCCCAUCACAUCCCGCGGUGGCCGACGACGACGGCGACUUCCUCGCUCUCUCCUCUCCAGCAGGGAAAGCAGUAUUCCGGGUGAAAAUCAGGUGCACGUUUGCUCGCUCUUGGUUGAACCUAAAUUUGUGGUUUAUUUCAAUUUGUAUUUCAAUUUAUCCAAACUUGCACCAUUAAGUUUGGAGUGGAUUUUGAGAGGUGGACAGAGUGAGUGAUUUAUCUCUUCAAGUGGCUUAUCAAUCUUAUUCGUUUGUGCAAAGACAGGGAGGAUCGAUCCUCUACUUUCUCCUGUAUUUCGCCUGUGUCAAAUCAAAACUUUCGAGCAGGAUGUGAUUUGUUUCACAGGGUUUGAACAACAAUACAGCUCGGAGUGAGUGCGUAGGUACGUCCAUACGCAGCCAGGAAGUUGGUGGAUGGAUAGCAGACAGGAUAACCGAUCUCACAUCACGAUUACAAGAAAUCCCAUCUCCAUCUGGUAUCAUCAAGUAUGUUGGCUCGCAGUCCUGAAAGAGAAAGUCAACUUUCCUCAGAAAACCGUUUUGGCCUGGAUUCUUGAACUGGGGCCAAAUUAAGACGAGGGAGAAAGCCAGCCAGGAUGAAUAAUGACCCGAGACGUCGCUUAUCCAGACCAGAACUGUCGGGGAUCUCUGCCAUAUUCAACCCCCGCAAACUCAGAAGAAAUUCUACGGCCGUGAGUCAACUCCUCAGUGGCACGAGUAGGCACCCCUCAGUCGUCGUCACGGAUGACAACGCAGCAGACGUUGACUUUUUCUUCUCUUCCAUGAGUGGACUUGGCCUACACGCUGGUUCUUCAUUUGCAGGUAUGGCCAACGGAGGACAAAGUGUAGCUAGUUUAACUGGUGGUGGUAGUGCUGGUGGUGGUGGUGGGUGUGGAUCUCCUUCUGUUCCCCUUCUUUCAGAUCAUCCCCAUGGGAGCGGCGGGGGGAACAACAUUGUCACCAUCGAGAGCUCCCUCUCAACCCCACAACUCCACCACUCACAACAGCAGCAACGAGGGGGGGACGCACCGCCCAACAACGCCAACAUCAAACCCAUUGCGAGGACCAUCGCCACCAUCAAGAGAGCUUUGUUUAGCAAAACUGCGAGAAAGUUAUGCUGUGGACUUUUCUUAAGUGUACUUGUGGGCUGCUGUUGGACGAUCCUGUUCCACUCAAUAAAACGGGCUUACAUCACAAUGCACUUAUUUCCGGAUGAGAUGGCCUCGGACGUGGAGGACCACGUGGUGGAGACAUCAACGUCGCCACUCGACGCUGCAUAUGACCCUUCCAAAUUUUUCCAUGCCCUUGACCCGAACAAUAACUUGAGAGGAUCCAACGGUGAUACUGUGAACAACAAUGUGAACUCAAGUCUGAAGGAAGUGAGCAGUUCCUCGGUGCCAAAAACGUUAAAGUUGGUGAAAGUGUACGAAGCCCCCUUUUUCACGUCAUGGCUUCUAAGUAUUUGUACAGUGAUGUUCUACCCAAUUCACCAACUCACAGUUCGCUUCUGCUCUUGUAUGGGACGAAAAGGUCCCAAAAGUAUGUCGAGAGCUGUUUCUGAUGCAAUUCAAGGAUUUAGGGAACGGGGAAUGACGCUGUUUCAAUUUAUCGGGCGUUGUUCGCUGCUGUGUUUGCUGUGGCUUAUUACCUUGUGGCUGAUUUGUUUCUCUCUAAAAACGCUCAAAGCCACGCAAGUUUUGGCACUCUUCGCCACCACCACGUCCUUCCUUUAUAUUUUGUCUUGGACGGUGCUUCACAUAAAGUUUGUGGGAAUAAAGAUACUAGCUGUGAUUUUAAGCAAUAUGGGAAUCGCUCUAUUUGCUUACAUGGACGGACAAACUUAUAGGUCAACAACGAUCGUGGGUGUAAUUUUUGGUGCAGCAGCUGCUGCGACUUCCGCAGUUUUUAAGGUUAGCUUAAAGAAAUUCUUUGGAUUCGGUGCUACUAUAUCGCAGCAAGUAGCACUGAUUUUCUCAGUUGUUGGAAUUAUCGCAAUCGUGGUGUUGUGGCCUGUAUUUGUCACACUCUACUUUUCCGGACUGGAAGUGAUUAUUUGGUCCUACGUCCCAUGGGAGCUCAUACUGUGUGCUGUAUUAUCCUUUCUUGUUGUGGCAAUGUUGGAAAACUUCGGCGUUACCUGUACCUUCGAAUUCUUCAUCAGCAUUGGUCUUCUGAUGGCUAUUCCAUUCUCUGCGGUCUUGGAUCACCAUUUGUAUCAUCAUGACUUUGAAGGAAUGUGUCUCGCUGGGAUCUGGAUUAUCGGCGUCGGGUUUUGUGUGGUCUUACUACCAGAAGACUGGCCGGAGUAUAUUACUCGAAUUAUAAGGCGAAUUCGUGGACCGUCUGAAGAAGAAAAGCACCCAGAGCCCGUUUAUUCUGCAAUGCCACGCUUAUCUCGUGCUGGUAUCGAAAAUUACCUCGUCAAUUCCUCUCCUCACUCCAAUUCCGCAAUUUCCAUCUCAUCCCCCCAAUCCCACCAUCGUACAAGCCAACAUAUCAACAACAAUUACACAACCACCCCCCACCACCACCUCCCACAACAACAGCAACCCAACCAUUCCAACGCUCACAUUGUCAACCACCAAUACUUUUAGCUAGCCCAUACACAACCAUGACAAACAAUGACGAAUGUGUCUUAAACUACUUUACGGCCUUCUCAGAAUUACCGAAAGACAUUUCUCAGCUAUUAUUAGUACGAUUAUUAUGAUUACUACCGUGCACAAGUUUGACAUACAAUGUGAUAUUCUUCUGGCUCUAGCUCCUUAAGCCAACUCGGCCUUUUCAAUGAUUUUUUUAGGAACACAGGAGGAGUCAUUAGUAGUAGCCGGCGGACGUAUUGAUACAAAAUAUAUGUCGACAUGAGUCCCUCGUUAAUUUCGCCAUAGCCUAGUCGAAUCAAGCUUAAUGAGAAAAUCAAGCGGAUUAGUUGUCGCAGUAGUUGGGGGGCAGAUCAUAUUGCAUAUUAUUGUAUAAGCGAAUGAUAUAUAUGAACCACUCAUUAUAUGAACCCAAGUACCUUAUGACCGAAACUUGUGAGCUAUGUAUUCCUAUUUGCGAAUAUUGUUCACUCCAAUUUUGGACGAAGCUGGGCUCCCACCCAGCACUUUUAGCCUUUCUCUCGUGAUCCAAACUUCAACUUUACACGCUGUGAGCACAAAAUUGCCUCGAUUUCUCUCUCGAGUGCUGGUGGUGGAAUUGAUGAAGCUCAUCCAGGUCGAGUCGGGAGUCUCAGUUCAAAUAGGACCAUUUCCAUAACUGAGAAAUGCGACAGGUCAUUUGUAUCUGUCGCUGGUGCCUUCUGUCUGAAUCCCAUCAUACAUCUAUCUGUACUGAAUGGAUUAUCGAUCUUUCCCAGAGCAUCGAAGAGCAAGUCCUCCGUCAUAAAGUAAAAAAAAUAUAUUCAAGUUGAAUGCCUUCAAAGGCCAUACGAUAUUUAUGUCUAAUUGUAAAUCAUAAGUCAAUGGUUUGCACACACAUUACAGAAUUAAAUACGGUGUGCAGACGGGUGAACUGAAUAAUACUUUACCUUCAUACAUAUUAUGUACCUUAACUAUUUACCUUAUAUACGCAAUGGCUCAAUAAUAAUUUCACCACCAUAUCAUCAUCUUACUACUCUAUAAGGGCUCUCGGGAUAAGGAAUUAUCAAAAUAUACCAUAUUUUUGAAGUAAUGGAGAUAGAUUAGACGACAAACUUAUAUGACUCCUUGAUCAGGCCAUAUGUAGAAAUAUACAACUUAUUUGCACUGGACAGAAGUACAAGUGUCUUAUCAUUUGGACAACGUGACAUGGACGAUCCAACAAACAAACAUUAGUUUAGCGACUCACGCACUUAUUGGAACUGACAGAUCCAUACAUACAUAUUCGACUUUAGUGCUGUAGCUCAUGGAAAAAACACUAUUUCCUUUUUUCAAUCAUUCGUUCUGCUUAGUUCUGAAUCCCCCUGAAUCUGUCAACGACGAGAAUUUGCAAUUCCUAAGCUCAUAUCGUUCAGGAUCAGGCUGACCCAUUGUUUUCCUGUCUGACUGGGGCCAGAGAAAGAAAGUGAGGUACCUGCCGCCAGCCAUGGCAUAUUUCCAGUGACACAUUAUGAACCAAUUCUGAACCAGGAUGCUAUACAUACAAGUGGAUUCGUCAGUGGGUAUACUUCUCUCAGAUUUACGUCACAUUUGUGCCACGCUCGCGUUGUACUGUGUUUGUGGGAGGCGUGUUGUUGUAACUUGAAUGUCUUUUCAUAAGAAUAAAUGUAGAAAUCAAUAUAAUUGUUACCAUUAAAAAAAAGAGUUGCGAUGAUUCGAGCAAGUUUAUCUAUUUCAUGCAUGCAGUGGAAAGUCUCAAUAAACAAACUUUCUUUGGUUGUAUGAUACCUACGUACACACUGUUGAAACAUAUUUAAAUGUGCUUAAAUAUCAAAUUAUCAUACUUCCAGUUCCAAAAUUCAAAAGCAUUGUCUUAAAAUUCUUCUUAUAAAAAUGCUCAUACAAAAAUUGUUGAUUGACUGCACACUGAACUUUAUGUUUAAUGGGAAAUCAUUUUGUUGUUUGCCAUAUUUUUAAGCAUUAAAUGUUUUGACGCAAAAGCUUCGAGUCGAAAAUUCGAAAGCACGAAUGUCAUCAGUGCGGCUUUUAUGUUCUUUUAAAAAUGACCAUGUACUUACUUUGCAAGUUGUUAUUAAUGAUGAUAGGAACACUUGACAAUUUUGUUGGCAUGCUAGGUACUCGCAUAUUCAAGUAUCCCGUCAAAUGCAUAGUCUAGUGAGAAACCUCUCAACAAUUUAACUGGUUCCACAAGGGUCAGUAUUGCUUAUAAAUAAUUCAAAGCACAUUUCGUCCUGUGUUAUCGUGCAGUCGUACGAGGAGCAUAUACAAAUAUGUAUGUCCAUCCUUAUGUCUCGCAACAAACUUAGGGAAAUAUUGUUCAACAUCAUGAUGCGCACAACUACGUACUUUCCCCACUUGUACACAUGUAUGUACAUAUAAAUGCUUGUAUACAUUCCUGAUCGUGUCUGGUAAAAGUUCCAUGGCUGAGUUGGCUGCGACACUUGACUCAAUUCAGCCUAAUAUACCAAUAGUGUUAGUAUUGUUCUGCAGCUGAGAAUGCGUGAGAAAAGAGAAAGUAUACGAAAUUAAGAAUAUCUCAUAUAUUUGAACGACAUUUUUAUCAACAAUGAUCGUGCUGAAUUGCUUGAUGUUAUUUAAGAAAUAGGCCCUCCGAGCAGUGACUGUCAAAUCUCCUGUAUAUUAUUGUGCUACUCAAUAAAGUAACAAGCUAUGUAGUUACAUAAGUUGUUCGAGCAUGACUUUGGUGAUAAUUUGAAUUCGAGCUUGGUUUUUUAUUGGAAAUUUAAUUACUUUUUUCUCUUCCCCAAUAAUCUCGCAAUCCUUAUUGCUUCAAGUCGGAGUCGCAACAUUCGUGUUUUCUGCUUGGCAAAUUGUUUCAAAGUUUCCUGAAGCGAGUAAUGAAAUCACUCACUUAGCGCACACCAGCGCUUGAGCAUGGCGGUUUUGGAUCCCAUACUUACCAAACUCUGAAACUUGCUUACACUUGCUUCUCUAACUUUUGUGAUAAUGCCACCAAUUUAAAGUUUCACGACACACGAGCAGUCCAUCUCACCCAUGUCUCUAUCCAACGCAUGUUACUUACGACUCAAUAUGAGGAUGAUUAAUCCCUAUACCCACAGAUACGUAUAUAUUUAUCACGACAGCAUGAAAAAAGAUUAUGAAGUACCUAUGAAUUUCAAUUUUUAACACGAUUUAUAAUACCACGACCUCCAGUACCAGAACCAAAAUAUUUUAACGCCUGUAUCACUUUCCUACUUAUGCUAUACAAGUACAAUUAACGAAUCUUGCAAGUUACAAAAAUAACUGGCAUCAUAACAUGCUCCACUUGUAAUUUGCUUGUACCAUUAACUUUCCCCAGGUUUUUUGCGGACAAUACUCGAUGGGGGAAGAACCGAAGGGGACUGACCCAGUCCAAUGAGCCCGUUGAUACGAGGACAUCAAGAUUUAACGCCCGACACCUCUGAUAACCAAUGUUUCCGUUUUGUGUGAAUUUUCUCGUGAUCCUCAAGUGAUGAUAUCAUGAAGCAAGUGUAAUAAAAUGUGUUUUUUUUUUUUUUUACGGGUGUUUGUGACCCUUUAGCAUGUCCAAAAAUAUGUUUUGACUGUAUUGAGAAUAUAUAUACAGAAUUAUUGAUGUACUAAUGGUUUUCCACGUUUAGAAUAUAUGUAAACUGCAAAUAUAAAAGUAAGAACUCCAUUAUCAAGGUUUAAUAAACAUGAACUACCCUGUAA
RNA transcript from Folsomia candida, 6424 nucleotides. RefSeq lists it as uncharacterized. Lineage: Eukaryota; Metazoa; Arthropoda; Collembola; Entomobryomorpha; Isotomidae. The record is from RefSeq and is a predicted model, not a curated record. The transcript has 19 exons.